UGAACGCUGGCGGUAUGCUUAACACAUGCAAGUCGAACGGAAACGAUACUAGCUUGCUAGUAGGCGUCGAGUGGCGGACGGGUGAGUAACGCGUAGGAAUCUGCCUGAUAGUGGGGGAUAGCCCGAAGAAAUUCGGAUUAAUACCGCAUAAUCUAUUCGUAGUAAAGUGGGGGACUUUCGAGCCUCACGCUAUCAGAUGAGCCUGCGUAAGAUUAGCUAGUUGGUAGGGUAAAAGCCUACCAAGGCAACGAUCUUUAGCUGGUCUGAGAGGAUGAUCAGCCACAUCGGGACUGAGACACGGCCCGAACUCCUACGGGAGGCAGCAGUGGGGAAUAUUGGACAAUGGGGGCAACCCUGAUCCAGCAAUACCGCGUGUGUGAAGAAGGCCUGAGGGUUGUAAAGCACUUUCAAUUGUGAAGAAAAGUUAACGGUUAAUAACCGUUAGCCUUGACGUUAACUUUAGAAGAAGCACCGGCUAACUCCGUGCCAGCAGCCGCGGUAAUACGGAGGGUGCAAGCGUUAAUCGGAAUUACUGGGCGUAAAGCGUGCGUAGGCGGUUUAUUAAGUCAGAUGUGAAAGCCCCGGGCUUAACCUGGGAACUGCAUUUGAAACUGGUCAACUAGAGUAUGGUAGAGGAAAGUGGAAUUUCUGGUGUAGCGGUGAAAUGCGUAGAUAUCAGAAGGAACAUCAAUGGCGAAGGCAGCUUUCUGGACCAAUACUGACGCUGAGGUACGAAAGCGUGGGUAGCAAACAGGAUUAGAUACCCUGGUAGUCCACGCCGUAAACGAUGAUAACUAGCCGUUGGGGGGAUUUACCCUUUAGUGGCGAAGCUAACGCGUUAAGUUAUCCGCCUGGGGAGUACGGCCGCAAGGUUAAAACUCAAAGGAAUUGACGGGGACCCGCACAAGCGGUGGAGCAUGUGGUUUAAUUCGAUGCAACGCGAAGAACCUUACCUGGUCUUGACAUCCUGCGAACUUUCUAGAAAUAGAUUGGUGCCUUCGGGAACGCAGUGACAGGUGCUGCAUGGCUGUCGUCAGCUCGUGUCGUGAGAUGUUGGGUUAAGUCCCGUAACGAGCGCAACCCCUAUCCUUAUUUGCCAGCACGUCAUGGUGGGAACUAUAAGGAGACUGCCGGUGAUAAACCGGAGGAAGGCGGGGACGACGUCAAGUCAUCAUGGCCCUUACGACCAGGGCUACACACGUGCUACAAUGGGAAGGACAAAGAGCCGCGAAGCCGCGAGGUGUAGCUAAUCUCAGAAACCUUUUCGUAGUCCGGAUUGGAGUCUGCAACUCGACUCCAUGAAGUCGGAAUCGCUAGUAAUCGUAGAUCAGAAUGCUACGGUGAAUACGUUCCCGGGUCUUGUACACAC
This 1369-nucleotide ribosomal RNA is filed under the name uncultured bacterium. Its description in RNAcentral is "16S ribosomal RNA". It matches the Rfam family "Bacterial small subunit ribosomal RNA", at positions 30 to 1390 of the family's 1533-position model. The record is from RNAcentral.